CUGUGAAGGAGGUGGAAGAGGAGCCAAAGGCGGGAGCCGCAGUUGGUGACCUCAGCAUCCUCUGCUAACACUGC
Molecule: long non-coding RNA, 74 nt
Filed under: Monodelphis domestica (gray short-tailed opossum)
Lineage: Eukaryota; Metazoa; Chordata; Mammalia; Didelphimorphia; Didelphidae
Description: lncRNA (ENSMODG00000048307.1)
Source: RNAcentral